RNAcentral lists this ribosomal RNA (256 nucleotides) under uncultured bacterium. Its description in RNAcentral is "partial 16S ribosomal RNA". It matches the Rfam family "Bacterial small subunit ribosomal RNA", at positions 521 to 776 of the family's 1533-position model. The record is from RNAcentral.
UAAUACGGAGGGUGCAAGCGUUAAUCGGAAUUACUGGGCGUAAAGCGCAUGCAGGUGGUUUGUUAAGUCAGAUGUGAAAGCCCUGGGCUCAACCUAGGAAUCGCAUUUGAAACUGACAAGCUAGAGUACUGUAGAGGGGGGUAGAAUUUCAGGUGUAGCGGUGAAAUGCGUAGAGAUCUGAAGGAAUACCGGUGGCGAAGGCGGCCCCCUGGACAGAUACUGACACUCAGAUGCGAAAGCGUGGGGAGCAAACAGG